Cephus cinctus (wheat stem sawfly) is the source of this 1057-nucleotide long non-coding RNA. RefSeq lists it as uncharacterized. Lineage: Eukaryota; Metazoa; Arthropoda; Insecta; Hymenoptera; Cephidae. The transcript has 5 exons. The record is from RefSeq and is a predicted model, not a curated record.
UUUCACGUGUACCAUAAAGCCCCAGAGUCGCCCACACAGAAAUCCGAUGACGCGCCAUUGUAGAUCUUCACCGAUAGUAUGAGAGAUGGGUCCCAGGAUUCACGCAACGACAAAUCCCACACCCAUAGCGCGACAAGACACGACACGAAGAGACACGACAGGACGGAACGCGACACGACACGCACUUUAACCGGAAUAGAUAGCAGCCAAGUAAAGGCAGUAGGCAGCAGCAAGAGGAUCCUGGUCUGUACACAUGUAUAUAGGUAUACGGAGUAAAGCACUUUGGCACGCUUCUUUUGGAACGCUACAUGGACUUCUUUCUGGCUAAUCAUAAUUUAUUGGACGUCUACUAGUCGCUAAGCCAAUCCCGAUGCUUUGCGUGUGCUUACGGACGCUUGGAGAAAAAUAUAAAACCGACGUUUAACGUUCGUGACAUGCAGGGGGUAGAGAUUACGAGAUUGAGGAAAAGUGAAAUGAGCAGCUAGGGAAACCUAACCUGCUUCAGAUCAAAGGGAAUAUUCAUGGUUGACAAUGGUGGUGCUCUGAGAAAGGAGUUCGACGAUUCAGCAAUGAAACCAACUGGCGCGGAGGAAUCUGUUUAAAACACGUUGCUGUAGAACUACCCCUCGAAGGGAGGUCCUCCGGAAGGCUGCGUCGAUCUUCGCGUUAGACUCGAUUCGCCGGCCGUGGCAAGGAGGGUAGUUUCUAGAUAAGCAAAAAACCUUCCAUUCAACCUGAGUCGGGGCUUUAUCUUUCCGAGGAUUCAAGAGGAUUGAGAAGAGGGUAGUGCGGAUAUCCAGAGAUCCAGAAUAAUGAAAUGCACUGAAAAUAAGCGUGGACUAGUACGGAAGACGGAAGAUGGCGGGAGAGCGUUCUUACGGCGCAAACGGACGUAAAAGAAACCGAACGGCGUAGUAACAAUGUGUUCGCAACAACAAUAGCUGUUUACUGUCUCCAUUCGAGACGCGACAAUAGGUGGCCGCUCCGCUGUCAGUUUUUGUCAAUUGUUGUCCCUCAAGGGGGCGACAGUGGCGACGCCGUUGGUACUGUCGCCCAU